Molecule: ribosomal RNA, 366 nt
Filed under: Triticum aestivum (bread wheat)
Lineage: Eukaryota; Viridiplantae; Streptophyta; Magnoliopsida; Poales; Poaceae
Description: partial small subunit ribosomal RNA
Source: RNAcentral
AUGUCGCCCAACCCACACUGUAGAGGCUGUGUGGAACACAAGAAACCCCGCGCCAAACUCAGCCACCCGCACAAGGACAUCACAGCUCCGGCUCUGAAAGAUAGCUUCAAAGGAGAACUAUGCAAGGCUGGCGCCGCAGAAGACCACCGAACAGACCACCUGCUACCUGUCAUCGUCGCCACAGGGGCCCCGUCGCUGCAGCUCCGACUUCACGGCAGCAAAACAACCCGAGGUAAUCCCACAAACACGCCGGAGAAGAGCCGACUACCGCAACCAUUGCCGCGUCUCCGACAUUGCACACGCCCAUCAUCCUUGCCACAGAAGCCUCGACGCAAAACACCACCAACUUCCAUCGGUCCUGCUUGA